GACGAACGCGGCGGCGUGCCUAAUACAUGCAAGUCGAGCGAAGUUUUUCUGGUGCUUGCACUAGAAAAACUUAGCGGCGAACGGGUGAGUAACACGUAAAGAACCUGCCUCAUAGACUGGGACAACUAUUGGAAACGAUAGCUAAUACCGGAUAACAGUAUUUCUCGCAUGAGAGAUAUUUAAAAGUUGGUUAUGCUAACACUAUGAGAUGGCUUUGCGGUGCAUUAGCUAGUUGGUGGGGUAAAGGCCCACCAAGGCGACGAUGCAUAGCCGACCUGAGAGGGUGAUCGGCCACACUGGGACUGAGACACGGCCCAGACUCCUACGGGAGGCAGCAGUAGGGAAUCUUCCGCAAUGGGCGAAAGCCUGACGGAGCAACGCCGCGUGAGUGAAGAAGGAUUUCGGUUCGUAAAGCUCUGUUGUUAGGGAAGAAUGGAUAUGUAGUAACUAUACAUGUAAGAGACG
This 465-nucleotide ribosomal RNA is filed under the name Gemella morbillorum. RNAcentral's name for it is "bacterial SSU rRNA". It matches the Rfam family "Bacterial small subunit ribosomal RNA", at positions 28 to 474 of the family's 1533-position model. Lineage: Bacteria; Bacillati; Bacillota; Bacilli; Caryophanales; Gemellaceae. The record is from RNAcentral.